Molecule: ribosomal RNA, 484 nt
Filed under: uncultured bacterium
Lineage: Bacteria
Description: partial 16S ribosomal RNA
Rfam family: Bacterial small subunit ribosomal RNA
Source: RNAcentral
AUUGAACGCUGGCGGCAGGCCUAACACAUGCAAGUCGAGCGGAUGAAGGGAGCUUGCUCCUGGAUUCAGCGGCGGACGGGUGAGUAAUGCCUAGGAAUCUGCCUGGUAGUGGGGGAUAACGUCCGGAAACGGGCGCUAAUACCGCAUACGUCCUGAGGGAGAAAGUGGGGGAUCUUCGGACCUCACGCUAUCAGAUGAGCCUAGGUCGGAUUAGCUAGUUGGUGGGGUAAAGGCCUACCAAGGCGACGAUCCGUAACUGGUCUGAGAGGAUGAUCAGUCACACUGGAACUGAGACACGGUCCAGACUCCUACGGGAGGCAGCAGUGGGGAAUAUUGGACAAUGGGCGGAAUCCUGAUCCAGCCAUGCCGCGUGUGUGAAGAAGGUCUUCGGGUUGUAAAGCACUUUAAGUUGGGAGGAAGGGCAGUAAGUUAAUACCUUGCUGUUUUGACGUUACCAACAGAAUAAGCACCGGCUAACUUCGUG